This 510-nucleotide ribosomal RNA is filed under the name Triticum aestivum (bread wheat). Its description in RNAcentral is "partial small subunit ribosomal RNA". The record is from RNAcentral. Lineage: Eukaryota; Viridiplantae; Streptophyta; Magnoliopsida; Poales; Poaceae.
AUGAAACUUUGUGAGAAAAGGAGAAAGAUUGGAAUGAAACUGAAAGGAAAAAUUAUUCCAACCAUCAUUCAACAAAUUCAUAAUAGGACAAGGGGACUUAAACAUUUGAAAGUUGGGAAAUGUGGAGUUGCAAGUUGUGAGGUGAGGGACACAAGUAAAUACAACUUGCGACAUGUUCUCAAGAGUGACCAAAGCGAGUGCACAUGCUUGGAGUGGCAACACAUAAGGAAGCCUUGUGAACAUGCACUAGCUUUCUUGCUAGAUAGAAGGAACCCAAGAUGGGAGGACUAUGGGCAUGACUAUUUCUCUCUAGAGAAGUUCUGGGCGGCAUAUGCUGGAGAGGUUGAGCCAUUGACAGAUAGGUCGCAAUGGCCACAUGUAGAAUUUCCGUUUGACAUGGAGGCUCCAAUAGAUAAGAAAAGAGGUGUUGGAAGGCCUAGAAAGAAUAGGUAUAAGAGCUUCCUCGAAGGUGGAGAUGGUGGUCCUAAAAAUAAGAAAGAGCCAAAAUAA